RNAcentral lists this ribosomal RNA (246 nucleotides) under Triticum aestivum (bread wheat). RNAcentral describes it as "partial small subunit ribosomal RNA". Lineage: Eukaryota; Viridiplantae; Streptophyta; Magnoliopsida; Poales; Poaceae. The record is from RNAcentral.
AUGGCAGUUGAAAAUUUCAUGAUGCAUGGACCAUGUGGCCAGACAUGCUACAAGUCACCAUGCAUGAUUAAUGGGAAGUGCUCAAAACAUUUCCCUAAGAUGUUCUGUGAGGAAACAAGCAUCGAUGAAGAAGGAUUCCCAAUAUACAGAAGAAGAAAUAAUGGCAGGACAGUAGAAAAAAAUGGAGUACAACUAGAUAGCAGGUAUGUUGUUCCAUACAACAGGGACCUGAUAGUCAAGUACUAG